This 484-nucleotide ribosomal RNA is filed under the name uncultured bacterium. RNAcentral's name for it is "partial 16S ribosomal RNA". It matches the Rfam family "Bacterial small subunit ribosomal RNA", at positions 30 to 507 of the family's 1533-position model. The record is from RNAcentral.
AUUGAACGCUGGCGGCAGGCCUAACACAUGCAAGUCGAGCGGAUGAAGGGAGCUUGCUCCUGGAUUCAGCGGCGGACGGGUGAGUAAUGCCUAGGAAUCUGCCUGGUAGUGGGGAAUAACGUCCGGAAACGGGCGCUAAUACCGCAUACGUCCUGAGGGUGAAAGUGGGGGAGCUUCGGACCUCACGCUAUCAGAUGAGCCUAGGUCGGAUUAGCUAGUUGGUGGGGUAAAGGCCUACCAAGGCGACGAUCCGUAACUGGUCUGAGAGGAUGAUAAGUCACACUGGAACUGAGACACGAUCCAGACUCCUACGGAGGGACGCCGUGGGGAAUAUUGGACGAUGGGCGAAAGCCUGAUCCAGCCAUGCCGCGUGGGUGGAGAAGGUCUUCGGGUUGUAAAGCACUUUAAGUUGGGAGGAAGGGCAGUAAGUUAAUACCUUGCUGUUUUGACGUUACCAACAGAAUAAGCACCGGCUAACUUCGUG